UACGGGGGGAGCAAGCGUUGUUCGGAUUUACUGGGCGUAAAGGGCGCGUAGGCGGUCACGACAAGUCAGUUGUGAAAUCUCCGGGCUUAACUCGGAACGGUCAACUGAUACUGUCGUGCUAGAGUACAGAAGGGGCAACUGGAAUUCUCGGUGUAGCGGUGAAAUGCGUAGAUAUCGAGAGGAACACCUGCGGCGAAGGCGGGUUGCUGGGCUGAUACUGACGCUGAGGCGCGAAAGCUAGGGGAGCGAACGGG
Molecule: ribosomal RNA, 254 nt
Filed under: uncultured bacterium
Lineage: Bacteria
Description: partial 16S ribosomal RNA
Rfam family: Bacterial small subunit ribosomal RNA
Source: RNAcentral